Molecule: ribosomal RNA, 255 nt
Filed under: uncultured bacterium
Lineage: Bacteria
Description: partial 16S ribosomal RNA
Rfam family: Bacterial small subunit ribosomal RNA
Source: RNAcentral
CGUAGGGUGCGAGCGUUAAUCGGAAUUACUGGGCGUAAAGCGUGCGCAGGCGGUUUGUUAAGACAGAUGUGAAAUCCCCGGGCUCAACCUGGGAACUGCAUUUGUGACUGGCAGGCUAGAGUAUGGCAGAGGGGGGUAGAAUUCCACGUGUAGCAGUGAAAUGCGUAGAGAUGUGGAGGAAUACCGAUGGCGAAGGCAGCCCCCUGGGCCAAUACUGACGCUCAUGCACGAAAGCGUGGGGAGCAAACAGGGAUU